Molecule: ribosomal RNA, 510 nt
Filed under: uncultured bacterium
Lineage: Bacteria
Description: partial 16S ribosomal RNA
Rfam family: Bacterial small subunit ribosomal RNA
Source: RNAcentral
GACGAACGCUGGCGGCGUGCUUAACACAUGCAAGUCGAACGAAGAGCGAUGGAAGCUUGCUUCUAUCAAUCUUAGUGGCGAACGGGUGAGUAACGCGUAAUCAACCUGCCCUUCAGAGGGGGACAACAGUUGGAAACGACUGCUAAUACCGCAUACGAUCUGACCUCGGCAUCGAGGAUAGAUGAAAGGUGGCCUCUACAUGUAAGCUAUCACUGAAGGAGGGGAUUGCGUCUGAUUAGCUAGUUGGAGGGGUAACGGCCCACCAAGGCGAUGAUCAGUAGCCGGUCUGAGAGGAUGAACGGCCCCAUUGGGACUGUGACACGGCCCAGACUCCUACGGGAGGCAGCAGUGGGGAAUCUUCCGCAAUGGACGAAAGUCUGACGGAGCAACGCCGCGUGAGUGAUGACGGCCUUCGGGUUGGAAAGCUCUGUUAAUCGGGACGAAAGGCCUUUUUGCGAAUAGUGAGAAGGAUUGACGGUACCGGAAUAGAAAGCCACGGCUAACUACGUG